CCAGAGCUCAACUCCUUGGCUACACAGUUGAGGAAGACAACUGGCGUCUGCUUUGGUCCUCGGCUCAAGAAAUCUUCCCACCUCGGUGGUCAAAGUCGCUGGCACUCAUCUGGCCAGCUGCUGCCAAGAGCUGGCACUUACCUGCCAUCCUUGAACUGAACUUUUAACAAACUGCGAUUUUUAAGGAUCAGAGUUUAUUGAGGGUCAGCUUUAGCUCAAGCUCUGCUGCAAACCCCGAGUCUGAUUUUCUUCUGCUCUGGUAAGUUCUCUAGAACUUGCAGAUCUUGGAUUUUUUUUUUCCUUGUUUGAUUGCACAUUUGGGUAAAAAUAUGGACUGGCAACCGGUUACAUAUAAUUAAGAUAGUUUUCCUUUAAAUGAUGUGCUAGAUCUACAUAAACACUCUCCUACUAACGCCAUGAACUUAUGAGUGUGCAUUUUAGAAAUUACUAAUCUGAGACUUACUGGUCUGGUACUUGUCUAAACCUUGUCUGCAGGCAGAGCUACACGGAAUCCUAAGGUCAACCCCGUUUCAAUAGCCACCACCUUUUUACACCAUGAUUUGGUUAGAUGCUUACUUCCACCUUUCAGUGCACAGUCCACAUCCCUCCCUGUAUGCAAAGUCCUCUAAGAUUUAGGUUUCCUUGAAUUCA
Molecule: long non-coding RNA, 651 nt
Filed under: Mus spicilegus (steppe mouse)
Lineage: Eukaryota; Metazoa; Chordata; Mammalia; Rodentia; Muridae
Description: lncRNA (ENSMSIG00000013150.1)
Source: RNAcentral